Molecule: ribosomal RNA, 468 nt
Filed under: uncultured bacterium
Lineage: Bacteria
Description: partial 16S ribosomal RNA
Rfam family: Bacterial small subunit ribosomal RNA
Source: RNAcentral
GACGAACGCUGGCGGCGUGCUUAACACAUGCAAGUCGAACGGAAAGGCCCUGCUUUUGUGGGGUGCUCGAGUGGCGAACGGGUGAGUAACACGUGAGUAACCUGCCCUUGACUUUGGGAUAACUUCAGGAAACUGGGGCUAAUACCGGAUAGGAGCUCCUGCUGCAUGGUGGGGGUUGGAAAGUUUCGGCGGUUGGGGAUGGACUCGCGGCUUAUCAGCUUGUUGGUGGGGUAGUGGCUUACCAAGGCUUUGACGGGUAGCCGGCCUGAGAGGGUGACCGGCCACAUUGGGACUGAGAUACGGCCCAGACGCGUACGGGAGGCAGCAGUGGGGAAUAUUGCACAAUGGGCGGGAGCCUGAGGCAGCAACGCCGCGUGCGGGAUGACGGCCUUCGGGUUGUAAACCGCUUUCGCCUGUGACGAAGCGUGAGUGACGGUAAUGGGUAAAGAAGCACCGGCUAACUACGUG